This 301-nucleotide ribosomal RNA is filed under the name uncultured bacterium. RNAcentral describes it as "partial 16S ribosomal RNA". It matches the Rfam family "Bacterial small subunit ribosomal RNA", at positions 509 to 807 of the family's 1533-position model. The record is from RNAcentral.
CAGUAGCCGCGGGAAUACAGAGGGUGCAAGCGUUAAUCGGAAUUACUGGGCGUAAAGCGCGCGUAGGUGGUUUGUUAAGUUGGAUGUGAAAUCCUUGGGCUCAACCUGGGAACUGCAUCCAAAACUGGCAAGCUAGAGUAUGGUAGAGGGUGGUGGAAUUUCCUGUGUAGCGGUGAAAUGCGUAGAUAUAGGAAGGAACACCAGUGGCGAAGGCGACCACCUGGACUGAUACUGACACUGAGGUGCGAAAGCGUGGGGAGCAAACAGGAUUAGAUACCCCCGUAGUCCCUGUCUCUUAUAC